GACGAACGCUGGCGGCGUGCUUAACACAUGCAAGUCGAACGGAAAGGCCCUGCUUUUGUGGGGUGCUCGAGUGGCGAACGGGUGAGUAACACGUGAGUAACCUGCCCUUGACUUUGGGAUAACUUCAGGAAACUGGGGCUAAUACCGGAUAGGAGCUCCUGCUGCAUGGUGGGGGUUGGAAAGUUUCGGCGGUUGGGGAUGGACUCGCGGCUUAUCAGCUUGUUGGUGGGGUAGUGGCUUACCAAGGCUUUGACGGGUAGCCGGCCUGAGAGGGUGACCGGCCACAUUGGAGCUGGGAACCGGCCCAGACUCCUGCGGGGGGCAACAGGGGGGAAUAUUGAAAAAGGGGGGGAAGCUGGAAGCAGCAAGCCCGGGGGGGGGAGGAGGGCCUUCGGGUGUUAAACCGGUUUCGCCUGGGAAGAAGCGGGAGGGACGGUAAGGGGGAAAAAAGCACCGGCUAACUACGU
RNAcentral lists this ribosomal RNA (467 nucleotides) under uncultured bacterium. RNAcentral's name for it is "partial 16S ribosomal RNA". It matches the Rfam family "Bacterial small subunit ribosomal RNA", at positions 28 to 506 of the family's 1533-position model. The record is from RNAcentral.